CAGUCGCCGCGGUAAUACGUAGGGUGCAAGCGUUAAUCGGAAUUACUGGGCGUAAAGCGUGCGCAGGCGGUUAUAUAAGACAGAUGUGAAAUCCCCGGGCUCAACCUGGGAACUGCAUUUGUGACUGUAUAGCUAGAGUACGGCAGAGGGGGAUGGAAUUCCGCGUGUAGCAGUGAAAUGCGUAGAUAUGCGGAGGAACACCGAUGGCGAAGGCAAUCCCCUGGGCCUGUACUGACGCUCAUGCACGAAAGCGUGGGGAGCAAACAGGAUUAGAGACCCGAGUAGUCCCUGUCUCUUAUAC
Molecule: ribosomal RNA, 301 nt
Filed under: uncultured bacterium
Lineage: Bacteria
Description: partial 16S ribosomal RNA
Rfam family: Bacterial small subunit ribosomal RNA
Source: RNAcentral